UGCGAACUUGAAUAUUGCUUUGCAGUGCCUU
RNAcentral lists this non-coding RNA (31 nucleotides) under Mus musculus (house mouse). Lineage: Eukaryota; Metazoa; Chordata; Mammalia; Rodentia; Muridae. The record is from RNAcentral.